UCUAUAUCGUAUAGACCCUAGAAAAUUAAGAGAAAAAAAGAGAAGAAGAAAAAAUUACAAGAAACAAAAAAAAGCAAAAAUUAAGAGAGAAGAAGAGAAGGCCUUGAGAUUGUUCGAGAAGUGAAAGAGAAUCCAUAGCGGAAGAGAAAAAAUGAAUCCAAACAGUGAAAAACUAUAGGAGAAUUGAAGAAAAGAGGAACAAUAAGGAA
Molecule: long non-coding RNA, 209 nt
Filed under: Elaeis guineensis (African oil palm)
Lineage: Eukaryota; Viridiplantae; Streptophyta; Magnoliopsida; Arecales; Arecaceae
Description: long non-coding RNA (EGUI_LNC044860)
Source: RNAcentral